This 546-nucleotide ribosomal RNA is filed under the name uncultured bacterium. RNAcentral's name for it is "partial 16S ribosomal RNA". It matches the Rfam family "Bacterial small subunit ribosomal RNA", at positions 355 to 895 of the family's 1533-position model. The record is from RNAcentral.
UGGGGAAUUUUGGACAAUGGGGGAGACCCUGAUCCAGCCAUCCCGCGUGUGCGAUGAAGGCCUUCGGGUUGUAAAGCACUUUUGGCAGGAAAGAAACGUCGCGGGUUAAUACCCCGCGAAACUGACGGUACCUGCAGAAUAAGCACCGGCUAACUACGUGCCAGCAGCCGCGGUAAUACGUAGGGUGCAAGCGUUAAUCGGAAUUACUGGGCGUAAAGCGUGCGCAGGCGGUUCGGAAAGAAAGAUGUGAAGUCCCAGAGCUUAACUUUGGAACUGCAUUUUUAACUACCGGGCUAGAGUGUGUCAGAGGGAGGUGGAAUUCCGCGUGUAGCAGUGAAAUGCGUAGAUAUGCGGAGGAACACCGAUGGCGAAGGCAGCCUCCUGGGAUAACACUGACGCUCAUGCACGAAAGCGUGGGGAGCAAACAGGAUUAGAUACCCUGGUAGUCCACGCCCUAAACGAUGUCAACUAGCUGUUGGGGCCUUCGGGCCUUGGUAGCGCAGCUAACGCGUAAGUUGACCGCCUGGGGAGUACGGUCGCAAGAUU